RNAcentral lists this ribosomal RNA (472 nucleotides) under uncultured bacterium. RNAcentral describes it as "partial 16S ribosomal RNA". It matches the Rfam family "Bacterial small subunit ribosomal RNA", at positions 28 to 507 of the family's 1533-position model. The record is from RNAcentral.
GACGAACGCUGGCGGCGUGCUUAACACAUGCAAGUCGAACGAUGAACCCGGAGCUUGCUCUGGGGGAUUAGUGGCGAACGGGUGAGUAACACGUGAGUAACCUGCCCUGGACUCUGGGAUAAGCGUUGGAAACGACGUCUAAUACCGGAUAGGACCUUGGAUCGCAUGUUCUGGGGUGGAAAGUUUUUUCGGUCUGGGAUGGACUCGCGGCCUAUCAGCUUGUUGGUGAGGUAAUGGCUCACCAAGGCGUCGACGGGUAGCCGGCCUGAGAGGGUGACCGGCCACACUGGGACUGAGACACGGGCCAGACUACUACGGGAGGCAGCAGUGGGGAAUAUUGCACAAUGGGCGAAAGCCUGAGGCAGCAACGCCGCGUGCGGGAUGAUGGCCUUCGGGUUGUAAACCGAUUUUAGUAGGGAAGAAGGGCUUCGGCUUGACGGUACCUGCAGAAAAAGGACCGGCUAACUACGUG